Molecule: long non-coding RNA, 377 nt
Filed under: Dasypus novemcinctus (nine-banded armadillo)
Lineage: Eukaryota; Metazoa; Chordata; Mammalia; Cingulata; Dasypodidae
Description: lncRNA (ENSDNOG00000051331.1)
Rfam family: tRNA (bases 298-369)
Source: RNAcentral
CAGGCGGCAGUGUUCCCGCCGCUGACGCGAGCCCCCGCGUGCCUGACAGCGACGCCCCCACGCCCUCCAGGACCCUCCCCCGCCCCGCUCGCUCAGAGACCGGGCCAUGGCCACUUAGCGUGGGCCCGAAAGCCCAGAAGCGGGCCUGGACGAGUGGGAGACCACGACCUGGAAGGGCGAGGGCACAGAGGGCAGGGUCUGAGGAACUGCGCCAUCGUUUAUGUCAAAGUUUGGAGUUGGAAGCCAUGGACACUAACUCGGACUGAUUUAAGGAGAAAAAUGAUUUACUACCGGGGAGAAGAUGUAGCUCAGCGGUUGAGCACCUGCUUGCCAGGUACCAAGUCCUGGGUUUGAUCCCCUGUACCUCCUGAAAAAAC